This 274-nucleotide ribosomal RNA is filed under the name uncultured bacterium. RNAcentral's name for it is "partial 16S ribosomal RNA". It matches the Rfam family "Archaeal small subunit ribosomal RNA", at positions 473 to 747 of the family's 1478-position model. The record is from RNAcentral.
AAACCAGCACCUCAAGUGGUCAGGAUGAUUAUUGGGCCUAAAGCAUCCGUAGCCGGCUCUGUAAGUUUUCGGUUAAAUCUGUACGCUCAACGUACAGGCUGCCGGGAAUACUGCAGAGCUAGGGAGUGGGAGAGGUAGACGGUACUCGGGAGGAAGUGGUAAAAUGCUUUGAUCUCUCGAUGACCACCUGUGGCGAAGGCGGUCUACCAGAACACGUUCGACGGUGAGGGAUGAAAGCUGGGGGAGCAAACCGGAUUAGAAACCCUGGUAGUCC